AGUGAACGCUGGCGGUAGGCCUAACACAUGCAAGUCGAACGGCAGCACAGUAAGAGCUUGCUCUUACGGGUGGCGAGUGGCGGACGGGUGAGGAAUACAUCGGAAUCUACUUUUUCGUGGGGGAUAACGUAGGGAAACUUACGCUAAUACCGCAUACGACCUACGGGUGAAAGCAGGGGAUCUUCGGACCUUGCGCGAUUGAAUGAGCCGAUGUCGGAUUAGCUAGUUGGCGGGGUAAAGGCCCACCAAGGCGACGAUCCGUAGCUGGGCUGAGAGGAUGAUCCGCCACACUGGAAGUGAGAGGCGGCCCAGGCUCCGACGGGAGGCAGCGGUGGGGAAUAUUGGACAAUGGGCGCAAGCCUGAUCCAGCCGUACCGCGUGGGUGAAGAAGGCCUUCGGGUUGUAAAGCCCUUUUGUUGUGAUAGAAAAGCAGCGGGUGAAACCCCCCCUGUUCUGACGGUACCCAAAUAAUAAGCACCGGCUAACUUCGUG
Molecule: ribosomal RNA, 492 nt
Filed under: uncultured bacterium
Lineage: Bacteria
Description: partial 16S ribosomal RNA
Rfam family: Bacterial small subunit ribosomal RNA
Source: RNAcentral